Molecule: long non-coding RNA, 233 nt
Organism: Daphnia pulicaria
Lineage: Eukaryota; Metazoa; Arthropoda; Branchiopoda; Diplostraca; Daphniidae
Exons: 2
Source: RefSeq, a predicted model, not a curated record
UGUUAGUACAAGGAUUUCCCGUUGAUCCAUGCCUUUAAUACUUGAUAUGCCCAAUUUUAAAGUUCGAAAACGAAAAAUGUGGAAUACGUUAGGACAUUAAAUUGGGCUCAAGGAGCAUCGAGUAAAGGGCAAACGCCAGUGGUUUCAUAGACAUGGAUUUGAUAACUGAUACCGCGGUCCAGUUGAAUCCCUUGAGGGACAUCGGGAUCGUCAACUAUUUGAAGUUGGCAUUC